Molecule: ribosomal RNA, 871 nt
Filed under: Macrogastra rolphii rolphii
Lineage: Eukaryota; Metazoa; Mollusca; Gastropoda; Stylommatophora; Clausiliidae
Description: partial large subunit ribosomal RNA
Source: RNAcentral
UUAAACUAGAAUAUCUAAAUUUUUAAUAUCCCGAAGUAAGAAGAGCUAAUUAUUUUAGUUUGUUAGAAUGUAAAUAACUUAUGUUGUUGCAUAAAUAUAAAAAUAAAAUUUAUUAGGGGUGAAAUGCUAUUCAAUUCUUAUAGAUAACUGGAUGAAGCCUAAAUAUAUUUAGUAUAAUGUUUACAAAUGUAUAGUGCUAAGAUUUUACAUAGUGAAUAUAUUGAGAAUAACCAUUCAUAGAAUUUAUUAAUAUAAUACCUGUACAUAUAUAUAUAAAAUAAUUAAUGUUCAUUUUUAUUUCCCUUAUAGGUUUUUACUAUUAAAAAUAUAUAAAUUAGUCAACAAUGUUUAAAUAAGUACACAUUUAAAAAAAAUUAAAGGAACUCGGCAAUUUUUUUUUUCAACUGUUUAUCAAAAACAUAGCUACUUGUUUAAUCAUAACUAGUUACAUCUGCCCAGUGAAUUCUUUUAACGGCCGCAGUACACUGACUGUGCAAAGGUAGCAUAAUAAAUUGGCUUUUAAUUGAAGUCUGGUAUGAAUGAAUAAAUGGAAAAAAGCUGUCUUUAAUUUUUUAUUAAGAACUUACUCAGAAAGUGCAAAUUCUUUCAAUCAAUCUUAAAAGACGAGAAGACCCUAAAAAUUUUUUACUAAAAAGAGUAAUCUACUAUCUAAGUUUUUGUUGGGGCAACAAAUUAACAAAAAAUAAUCUAAUUUAUUUUCUUUUUUUAGAACGAGUUUUACUAAUAAAAGCUAAAUUACUUUAGGGAUAACAGCAUAAUUUUAUAAUUAAGAUUGUGACCUCGAUGUUGGAUUAGGGUCCUAUUAAAUUAGACAUUUAAUGGCUAGGUUCUGUUCGAACUUUUUAUCCCU